GAUCUUUUCUAAUCAGAGACCACUUUCACCUUAGUGGCUGCAAUGGCAUAUGUAACAAUUGUGGGACAGACUCGGUGUUAUACAAGGUGUCUAACAAAAUCAUGGAAAGGAUCCCUGACAGAGACUCCUGGUGACACCCUUUGUUUUUAACAAGAAACUGAAGUCUCACUCAAGGACAACUGAAAUCUUGAGAGGCGAGUGGUUGCAGGAAGAAGACAGUGUUCUGUUUUGUGAACGACAGUUCAUGUGAACAGCGCAAUUAUGAAAGGUUCAAUCAUUCUGAAAUAAAAUAAUUGUAGAUCAUUAUCAUCCUCAUCACGCUAUAACCGUGUGAGAUGAGGUACAAAGUUUAAUUUCCCUCUACUGUGCAUAUAUUCUGAUACUGACUACUUCAACGGUGUGAGGUCAGAAUCCAUUGGUGAACUUGCGUGUUUUUACUUUACAAAAAUGCUUCUUUUUCUGUAUUAUGUCAUUACUUUGAUAUCUGUCCAUAGAUCCAUGUGUAAGUAAUGUUUGAAUCAAAGCAAACAGUGGGAAUCAUUUUUUGUAAUUUGGAAUUGAAAGCCCUGAAUUUUCUCAUUGCAGCAACAACCCUGACUUUAGCCAUGUCUGAAAUAAAUGCAUUUGAUGUACA
Long non-coding RNA from Micropterus salmoides (largemouth bass), 634 nucleotides. RefSeq lists it as uncharacterized. Lineage: Eukaryota; Metazoa; Chordata; Actinopteri; Centrarchiformes; Centrarchidae. The transcript is spliced from 2 exons. The record is from RefSeq and is a predicted model, not a curated record.